CACAGUAUAGUCAGUAAUAAAGCUGCUCAGAUAUUAUGGAGCCCUCUGGGAGGAAGGAGUGUUCAGACCACUCACCUCAACACUACAGAGUAAACGUUUGUUUAGAGAGAUCCUCAACACCACCAACAGUGGAGCAAGAUGGCGUCGACAUGCAAGAUGGCGUCGACAUGCAAGAUGGCGUCGACAUGCAAGAUGGCGUCGACAUGCAAGAUGGCGUCGACAUGCAAGAUGGCGUCGACAUGCCAGCUCUGCUCCUAAGGAACUUUGCAGUAUUUUUUGUUGUUGUUGGCGUUUUAACUCAUCCCAGAAACUGCUCCAAGUUGCCGCUGGUGGAGAAGAGGUAUUCAGAGUGGACUACUAGUCUGACUCAGGAGGAGAGGAGAUGGAGAGGAGAGGAGAGGAGAGUUGCCGUUGGUGGAGAAGAGGUAUUCAGAGUGGACUACUAGUCUGACUCAGGAGGAGAGGAGAUGGAGAGGAGAGGAGAGGAGAGGAGAGGAGAGGAGAAUUGCCGUUGGUGGAGAAGAGGUAUUCAGAGUGGACUACUAGUCCGACUCAGGAGGCGUGCACACCAUCCACCGCUACCAAGUAUAUUACUCCCUGCAUUUCGCCACAGCCGCAAUAACAUCUGCUAAAUAUGUGUAUGUGACCGAUAAAAUUUGAUUUGAUUUGAAGAGCAGAGAUACUGAUCACAGUGAGGCUAAACUAUUUAAUCUACAGUAUUACAGUAUCUACAGGGUUGAACUGAGACAUGGAAGAGAAGUCUGUUUCUGUAAUCCAUGUGAAAGAGAAAAGAGCAGUCAGAGAAUUACAUGAAGCUAAGCGUUGCAUGUUACAUUGGGAAAAGAUUAUCCCAGGCCAGCCAGAUGUGUCUUUCUUGGAGGGAGCUGGGCCGACGGGGCCGAUCAGAACAAGCUGUAAGAAGCCGAGAGACAGGCCGUGCAGCGACAAGCAGUCAUAUCCUGCGGCUGGGAGGCAGAGAACAGCGGGGAGUCUUACACUGAGUCACUCACCGUCUCUCUCUCUGUCUCUGAAUAUGCAACAUUUCAGGUUUAGGAGAAUUCAGUUAUUGUUGACAUACAUGUGUUUCCCAUGCCAAUAAAGCCUUUUGAAUUAUAUAUAUAGAGAGAAAAUCCAUUGAAAAAGACUAAUAAAUAUAUAAAGGUU
Molecule: long non-coding RNA, 1164 nt
Filed under: Salmo salar (Atlantic salmon)
Lineage: Eukaryota; Metazoa; Chordata; Actinopteri; Salmoniformes; Salmonidae
Description: lncRNA (ENSSSAG00000105858.1)
Source: RNAcentral